UACAGAGGGUGCAAGCGUUAAUCGGAAUUACUGGGCGUAAAGCGUGCGUAGACGGUAGCGUAAGUCGGGUGUGAAAGCCCCGGGCUCAACCUGGGAAUUGCAUUCGAGACUGCUCUGCUAGGGUGCGGAAGAGGGGAGCGGAAUUUCCGGUGUAGCGGUGAAAUGCGUAGAUAUCGGAAGGAACACCAGUGGCGAAGGCGGGUCUCUGGGCAACAACUGACGCUGAGGAGCGAAAGCGUGGGGAGCGAACAGG
RNAcentral lists this ribosomal RNA (253 nucleotides) under uncultured bacterium. RNAcentral's name for it is "partial 16S ribosomal RNA". It matches the Rfam family "Bacterial small subunit ribosomal RNA", at positions 524 to 776 of the family's 1533-position model. The record is from RNAcentral.